GGAACAUUGUGGCUCAGUGGCAGAGCAUCUGCUCGGCAUGCAGAACAUCCUCGGGUCAAUCCCCACUGCGUCCA
This 74-nucleotide transfer RNA is filed under the name Sphaerodactylus townsendi. RNAcentral's name for it is "tRNA-Ala". Lineage: Eukaryota; Metazoa; Chordata; Lepidosauria; Squamata; Sphaerodactylidae. The record is from RNAcentral.